RNAcentral lists this ribosomal RNA (460 nucleotides) under uncultured bacterium. RNAcentral's name for it is "partial 16S ribosomal RNA". It matches the Rfam family "Bacterial small subunit ribosomal RNA", at positions 338 to 795 of the family's 1533-position model. The record is from RNAcentral.
CCUACGGGAGGCAGCAGUGAGGAAUAUUGGUCAAUGGGCGCAAGCCUGAACCAGCCAAGUCGCGUGAGGGAUGACGGUCCUAUGGAUUGUAAACCUCUUUUGUCGGGGAGCAAGGCCCGCCACGUGUGGCGGGAAGGAGAGUACCCGAAGAAAAAGCAUCGGCUAACUCCGUGCCAGCAGCCGCGGUAAUACGGAGGAUGCGAGCGUUAUCCGGAUUUAUUGGGUUUAAAGGGUGCGUAGGCGGAAGGUUAAGUCAGCGGUCAAAUGUCGGUGCUCAACACCGGCCUGCCGUUGAAACUGGUCGUCUUGAGUGAGCGAGAAGUAUGCGGAAUGCGUGGUGUAGCGGUGAAAUGCAUAGAUAUCACGCAGAACGCCGAUUGCGAAGGCAGCAUACCGGCGCUCAACUGACGCUGAGGCACGAAAGCGUGGGGAUCGAACAGGAUUAGAUACCCUUGUAGUC